GUGCGCGUAAUUUAAACAAAAUAUCAAGCUGUGACCUUGAAUACAGAGAUACUCUCUCGCACACC
This 65-nucleotide transfer RNA is filed under the name Rhinophis travancoricus. RNAcentral's name for it is "tRNA-His". Lineage: Eukaryota; Metazoa; Chordata; Lepidosauria; Squamata; Uropeltidae. The record is from RNAcentral.